This 853-nucleotide ribosomal RNA is filed under the name Pediococcus pentosaceus. RNAcentral describes it as "bacterial SSU rRNA". It matches the Rfam family "Bacterial small subunit ribosomal RNA", at positions 45 to 889 of the family's 1533-position model. The record is from RNAcentral. Lineage: Bacteria; Bacillati; Bacillota; Bacilli; Lactobacillales; Lactobacillaceae.
UGAUUAUGACGUACUUGUACUGAUUGAGAUUUUAACACGAAGUGAGUGGCGAACGGGUGAGUAACACGUGGGUAACCUGCCCAGAAGUAGGGGAUAACACCUGGAAACAGAUGCUAAUACCGUAUAACAGAGAAAACCGCAUGGUUUUCUUUUAAAAGAUGGCUCUGCUAUCACUUCUGGAUGGACCCGCGGCGUAUUAGCUAGUUGGUGAGGUAAAGGCUCACCAAGGCAGUGAUACGUAGCCGACCUGAGAGGGUAAUCGGCCACAUUGGGACUGAGACACGGCCCAGACUCCUACGGGAGGCAGCAGUAGGGAAUCUUCCACAAUGGACGCAAGUCUGAUGGAGCAACGCCGCGUGAGUGAAGAAGGGUUUCGGCUCGUAAAGCUCUGUUGUUAAAGAAGAACGUGGGUAAGAGUAACUGUUUACCCAGUGACGGUAUUUAACCAGAAAGCCACGGCUAACUACGUGCCAGCAGCCGCGGUAAUACGUAGGUGGCAAGCGUUAUCCGGAUUUAUUGGGCGUAAAGCGAGCGCAGGCGGUCUUUUAAGUCUAAUGUGAAAGCCUUCGGCUCAACCGAAGAAGUGCAUUGGAAACUGGGAGACUUGAGUGCAGAAGAGGACAGUGGAACUCCAUGUGUAGCGGUGAAAUGCGUAGAUAUAUGGAAGAACACCAGUGGCGAAGGCGGCUGUCUGGUCUGCAACUGACGCUGAGGCUCGAAAGCAUGGGUAGCGAACAGGAUUAGAUACCCUGGUAGUCCAUGCCGUAAACGAUGAUUACUAAGUGUUGGAGGGUUUCCGCCCUUCAGUGCUGCAGCUAACGCAUUAAGUAAUCCGCCUGGGGAGUACGACCGC